GACGAACGCUGGCGGCGUGCCUAAUACAUGCAAGUAGAACGCUGAAGGAGGAGCUUGCUUCUCUGGAUGAGUUGCGAACGGGUGAGUAACGCGUAGGUAACCUGCCUGGUAGCGGGGGAUAACUAUUGGAAACGAUAGCUAAUACCGCAUAAUAGCAGUUGUUGCAUGGCAACUGUUUGAAAGGUGCAAUUGCACCACUACCAGAUGGACCUGCGUUGUAUUAGCUAGUUGGUGGGGUAACGGCUCACCAAGGCGACGAUACAUAGCCGACCAGAGAGGGUGAACGGCCAAACUGGGACUGAGACCCGGCCCAGACUCCUACGGGAGGCAGCAGGAGGGGAUCUUCGGCGAGGGACGGAAGUCUGACCGAGCAACGCCGAGUGAGAGAAGAAGGUUUUCGGAUCGUAAAGCUCUGUUGUAAGGGAAGAACGAGUGUGAGAGUGGAAAGUUCACACUGUGACGGUAACUUACCAGAAAGGGACGGCUAACUACGUG
RNAcentral lists this ribosomal RNA (495 nucleotides) under uncultured bacterium. RNAcentral's name for it is "partial 16S ribosomal RNA". It matches the Rfam family "Bacterial small subunit ribosomal RNA", at positions 28 to 507 of the family's 1533-position model. The record is from RNAcentral.